Megalobrama amblycephala (Wuchang bream) is the source of this 1463-nucleotide long non-coding RNA. RefSeq lists it as uncharacterized. NCBI's taxonomy places the organism in Eukaryota, Metazoa, Chordata, Actinopteri, Cypriniformes, Xenocyprididae. The record is from RefSeq and is a predicted model, not a curated record. The transcript is spliced from 5 exons.
UUUAUCACAAGCCAUGAAUAGCUUUCAAAAAAGUAAUGGACAAAACCAUGGCAAAAAUAUGGGCUGCGUCCGAAACCGCCUACGUCUCUACUAUUUAGUAGGGGAAAAGCAGUAGGCGAGUGAAUAAGUAUGUCCGAAGCAAAAAGAGUAGGCGAAAAUUACCUGGGUGACGUAAAAAUUCUCGCGAGAUUCGGACGUGCGCCUACUUAAAGUGCGUCCGAAACCGCCUACUUACCUAAUAUAUAAUAGGGAAAAACAGUAGGCGAGCAAUUAAGUAUGUCAGAAACCUCAGUAAUCAUAAAAGAGUAGUCGAGGAGUUCCCGGAUGGCCUACUACUUCCGCCCAGAUUCUGAAGUGUUCCUCGCUGGAUACUUUUCUAUCCAAGGAGGCCACGGGAGAGGAUACGUCAUAAUCAAACACGGAGGAGAAAAGCGACGCGGAUGCUGUCAAAUGGACAGAUGACGGGGACAGAUGAGCACACAUGUGUUUAUCCGGUAGAGCAGCACUUCUCAAAGUCCGGACUCCGGUCCGGACCCGGACCCGGAGGGGAUUCAAUCCGGACCCGCCUCCAUUUCGUAUUUCAACAGCAGUAAUUGUGUAGCUUUUGUGGUAGAGCAGGACCUGCAAGGAAAGGUGACGGCGGUUUUUUAUUAGAAAAAAAAAAGAGGAAAACCUGAAACAAAAUAUAAAGAUGUGAAUGUCCUCAGACGGGUGUGAGCACUGAGGAUGGAGAGACACAGCAGAUCCUGGGAAUGGUUCAGUGUCAUGGAUGAGACCCUUCAUCACUCCUCCUUCCAAGUGUCUUGAUCAAGGACACACUGGAGGUGACGCUGCAGAGAUCGAACCAGCAACCUUCUGCUGACCAGCUCAGUGGUUUAGCCCACCACACCACAAAUUCAUGCUGAUGGAGAGCACAUGAAUGUUUGCAGCAGACACAGCGGCAGACAGAUUGUCCCGCACAUCUUCUCCCACUCCUGCUUCAAGGUUGUGGGAUUCAGGGGUCCAUCAUCAUCAUCUUCCUCAUCCUCUGGAUCAACGAUGUCCCCAGUGAGAAGAGCAGCAGUGAGGGACAUGAUGAUGAAGGUGUUCAUCAGCUGCUUCAUCAGAAUAAAGCUGCAGAAUGGGCACAGCUGUGUUGAGAUGGCAGCAGGACUGUAAAUACCUGAUUGUUAGAUCAAUACAUUUGAAUAAAGCUUUGUUUUGUGUGUUGUUGACUUGUAUAUGCAUUUAUUUAUUGUCAUUAUUACUUUUAUUAAUUCUUUUACUUUUUUUAUUAAUUAUGCUAUUAUUAUCAGUAAAUAUAUAUAUAUAUUAUUAAGCAAUGACUUAAUGCAUGAAUUGACUGUAAAUGGAGAUGUAUUCACAUCAGCUGUAUUUGUCUAGUGUGUGUUCAUGCAGAGCUGUCAUAUGACAAAACAUUACAUUUAGCUUGUUUUACUAAAGAAGUAAAAUGAAAAGUAAUA